Molecule: ribosomal RNA, 301 nt
Filed under: uncultured bacterium
Lineage: Bacteria
Description: partial 16S ribosomal RNA
Rfam family: Bacterial small subunit ribosomal RNA
Source: RNAcentral
CAGUAGCCGCGGGAAAACGAAGGGGGCUAGCGUUGCUCGGAAUUACUGGGCGUAAAGGGCGCGUAGGCGGCCAUUCAAGUUAGAUGUGAAAGCCCAGGGCUCAACCCUGGAAUUGCCUUUAAGACUGCAGAGCUAGCAGGUGAGAGAGGUGAGUGGAAUUCCGAGUGUAGAGGUGAAAUUCGUAGAUAUUCGCAAGAACACCAGUGGCGAAGGCGGCUCACUGGACCGACACUGACGCUGAGGCGCGAAAGCGUGGGGAGCAAACAGGAUUAGAUACCCGCGUAGUCCCUGUCUCUUAUAA